Molecule: ribosomal RNA, 1239 nt
Filed under: Triticum aestivum (bread wheat)
Lineage: Eukaryota; Viridiplantae; Streptophyta; Magnoliopsida; Poales; Poaceae
Description: partial small subunit ribosomal RNA
Source: RNAcentral
AUGUCGACAGUGCUUACUGUGGCGGCUGUUGCGGCGCUAGGGGAGACCGACCAGGUGGUGACCCCGUGGGAGGUGGCCGGCACGGCACAAGGAGGAGUCAACUACGAUAAGUUGGUGGACCAAUUUGGGUGCCAACGCAUCGACGCCGCGCUCGUCGACCGCAUCACGCGCCUUACAUCCAGACCGCCGCAUCGCUUCCUCCGCCGUGGGAUCUUCUUUGCCCAUCGCGAUUUGAACCAGAUAUUGGACCUGUACGAGCAGGGGGGAAAGUUCUACCUCUACACGGGAAGGGGACCCUCCUCGGAGUCACUGCACCUUGGCCACCUUGUCCCCUUCAUGUUCACAAAGUACUUGCAGGAUGCCUUCAAGGUGCCUGUAGUGAUACAGUUAACCGAUGACGAGAAGUUCCUCUGGAAGGACUUGUCUAUUGCGGAAUCUAAACGGCUUGCCCGUGAAAAUGCCAAAGACAUCAUAGCUUGCGGGUUUGACGUUGAAAGAACUUUCAUUUUCUCAGAUUUUCAAUAUGUUGGAGGUCCCUUCUAUGAAAAUAUGAUGCAAGUUGCAAAGCGUGUGACAUUUAAUACUCUUAGAGGCACUUUCGGAUUUACUCCAGAAGAUCACAUAGGAAAGUGUUGCUUUCCUCCUGUGCAAGCUGCUCCAUCAUUUGCUUCGUCAUUUCCCCAUUUCUUUGGGGUUAAUGACCAGCCGCGGUGCCUUAUUCCAUGUGCAAUAGACCAGGAUCCUUAUUUUAGAUUGACUCGUGAUGUUGCUCCUAAAAUGGGUUAUCCGAAACCUUCACUUAUUGAAUCAAAGUUUUUCCCUGCUCUUCAGGGGGAGUGUGGUAAAAUGUCUGCCAGUGACCCGACUAGUGCAGUAUAUCUGACAGAUAAACCUAAAGUAAUUAAAGAAAAGAUUAGGAAAUAUGCUUUCUCUGGUGGCCAGUCCACCACGGAGCUCCAAAGGAAAUAUGGAGCAAACCUCGAUGUUGAUGUCUGUAUCAAAUAUUUAAAUUUCUUCCUUGAAGAUGACGCUGAGUUUGAGCACAUAAAGAAGGAAUACAAAGUUGGGAAUAUGCUAACAGGCGAAUUGAAAGACCGUGUCGUUGGCGUUCUAUCGAAGAUAGCAUUAGCACAUCAGAAUGCUAGAGCUCAAGUGACCGAGGAGAUGGUUGAUGCAUACAUGUCUGCUAGUCCUCGUCCCAAUAUGUUUGGGACCCAUUCUGAUUAUGUGAAAUCGUAA